GCGCCAGUGGUGGAAUUGGUAGACACGCCAGAUUUAGGUUCUGGUGCCGAGAGGUGUGAAGGUUCAAGUCCUUCCUGGCGCA
RNAcentral lists this transfer RNA (82 nucleotides) under Alcanivorax sp. DG881. RNAcentral's name for it is "tRNA-Leu". It matches the Rfam family "tRNA". From Rfam's summary of the family: Transfer RNA (tRNA) molecules are approximately 80 nucleotides in length. Their secondary structure includes four short double-helical elements and three loops (D, anti-codon, and T loops). Further hydrogen bonds mediate the characteristic L-shaped molecular structure. tRNAs have two regions of fundamental functional importance: the anti-codon, which is responsible for specific mRNA codon recognition, and the 3' end, to which the tRNAs corresponding amino acid is attached (by aminoacyl-tRNA synthetases). tRNAs cope with the degeneracy of the genetic code in two manners: having more than one tRNA (with a specific anti-codon) for a particular amino acid; and 'wobble' base-pairing, i.e. permitting non-standard base-pairing at the 3rd anti-codon position. Lineage: Bacteria; Pseudomonadati; Pseudomonadota; Gammaproteobacteria; Oceanospirillales; Alcanivoracaceae. The record is from RNAcentral. RNAcentral also lists the same sequence under 1 other name.